Molecule: ribosomal RNA, 1017 nt
Filed under: Mucor bainieri
Lineage: Eukaryota; Fungi; Mucoromycota; Mucoromycetes; Mucorales; Mucoraceae
Description: LSU rRNA
Rfam family: Eukaryotic large subunit ribosomal RNA
Source: RNAcentral
GCAUAUCAAUAAGCGGAGGAAAAAGAAAAAUAACAAUGAUUUCCCUAGUAACGGCGAGUGAAGAGGAAAGAGCUCAAAGUUGGAAACUGUUUGGCUUAGCUAAACCGUAUUGUAAACUGUAGAAACAUUUUCCUGGCACACCAGAUUAAUAAGUCCUUUGGAACAAGGCAUCAUGGAGGGUGAGAAUCCCGUCUUUGAUCUGAGUAGUUGUCUUUUGUGAUAUGUUUUCAAAGAGUCAGGUUGUUUGGGAAUGCAGCCUAAAUUGGGUGGUAAAUCUCACCUAAAGCUAAAUAUUUGCGAGAGACCGAUAGCGAACAAGUACCGUGAGGGAAAGAUGAAAAGAACUUUGAAAAGAGAGUUAAACAGUAUGUGAAAUUGUUAAAAGGGAACCGUUUGGAGCCAGACUGGUUUGUCUGUAAUCAACCUAGAAUUCGUUUUGGGUGCACUUGCAGACUAUACCUGCCAACAACAGUUUGAUUUGGAGGAAAAAAUUAAUAGGAAUGUAGCCUCUCGAGGUGUUAUAGACUAUUAUCAUACUCUGGAUUGGACUGAGGAACGCAGCGAAUGCCUUUAGGCAAGAUUGCUGGGUGCUUUCGCUAAUAAAUGUUAGAAUUUCUGCUUCGGGUGGUGCUAACGUUUAAAGGAGGAACACAUCUAGUAUAUUUUUUAUUCGCUUAGGUUGUUGGCUUAAUGACUCUAAAUGACCCGUCUUGAAACACGGACCAAGGAGUCCACCAUAAGUGCAAGUAUUUGAGUGACAAACUCAUAUGCGUAAGGAAACUGAUUGAUACGAAGUCUUUUGAUGGCAGUAUCACCCGGCGUCGACGUUUUAACUGAAAUGACCGAGGUAAAGCACUUAUGAUGGGACCCGAAAGAUGGUGAACUAUGCCUGAAUAGGGUGAAGCCAGAGGAAACUCUGGUGGAGGCUCGUAGCGAUUCUGACGUGCAAAUCGAUCGUCAAAUUUGGGUAUAGGGGCGAAAGACUAAUCGAACCAUCUAGUAGCUGGUUCCUGCCGA